CAGACGACCAGCCCAAAUCGGCGUGUUUCUACACUUUGACUUCCUCAAAGAAGUCACUGCGGAGCCGCAGUGAGGGCUCGUGGUCCCGCUUCUCCCUGCUGACACUCUCACGAGCCGAGGUUCAUGGGACCACGGGCACUCCGCGCCUCCGGCUGGGAGCGGCCCGGGGAGCAGCCGGCACCGGCGGCCAGGGCUCUCGGGAGGCGCCCGGCCCACCGCGUCCCUCCGGGCCCAGGCCGGCCUGGCGAGCACCACUCGCGGGGCCACCGGUGGGCCCUGGGGCCGCCCGGGCAGCUGGCGACGCCUGUUCCCCCGAGCCGCCCCCGGGAGUCCCGGUGGGUGCGGCGGGGCGAAGCGGGCGGGCACCGCAGCGGGAGCGGAGCCCGGCGGAGCGGAGGAGGCCCGGCCGGGUCACGCCCGCCCCCGGCCGCGCCACCGCCCCUUCCUGUCAUGGCCGCGGCCGGGCAGUGGCAGCUCGGCGGGGUGGCGCGGGCCGGCGCCUUCGGCUGCUGAGCGCCCCGUGGGCGGCGCGGAGCGGGGACGGCCCCAGCCCGGAGCCGGCGGCAGGAGAUACCUGCGAAGUACCUGCUGUCCACCACUUUCUUCAUUUAACUUCCCCCUGGGGUCGGCUGGUCUUCAGCAUGCCUUCAACCAAGAACACCUCAAAACUUUUCCUGGUCCUCGUGUCACUGCUGCUGGUGCUGCCAGUAGCUGAAGCCCUGGACGCAGGAGAUACCAUUGCCUUCCUCCUAGGCCUCGCUGUCAGCGUCAUCGGAUUCUGCGCUUGCCUUGGCUUGUAUGCAAGGAGAAGGAAUGGGCAGCAGUGACCUCAAGAAAAUGCUCAGAUGAAGUGAAUUUCCAAACAUGGCUUGGGGUUGGGUGUAGGACUGAGCUUUGGUUCUGGAUAACUUUCAAAAAAUAUGUAGUACAUACUUCUGCAAACCCCUCAUACUGUUCAGUACAACAAAGACUCUGCCCAGUAAAAAUGAUUUGAAUGAUCUGUCCUCAUUACAAAAAAGAUAAUUUUAUAUUGUUCAUGAUUAAAUAUUGCCUUAGGUAAAUAUUGCUGGGUAAAAACUUUUUGAAUGGAGAAGUAAAACUGUAGAGUGUCUCACAGUGAAAGUUUAUAAAUUUAGCAUGUGAGGGAGGCCAUCAACAAGUUCCAUAAUUUUGGUUUCAAUGUUUAAUCAGGAGGAAGCAGCUAUUAAUCUUCCAGUCAAGAUGACAAGACUUUUGAAAUUAGUCUUAACUAGAUAGCUAGUGAGCAGACUGCUCUAAGUUGUGUGCUCAUGCUCACGUUCUCUGUAAUGACAGUUUACACCUAACAGCUCACUGCUGCUGUCACGUGAAUGAGACUUAAGAGAACUAAGGAAACAUGAAAGGUUUUUUUUUCUUUUAGAAUAUUUUCAGAGUAUUUUUAUUUUAGAAUAUGCCACUUUGUAGCCCAUGUUCUUACUACCAAGUAGAUACACCUAAGAAUGAGAUCACCGUUUGUAUUUAACAUCUAGUUCAAGUAAAGUACAUGUAAUGCUAUGUAAAUCAGAUUAGGGGUAUGGACUCUGUCUCUUGUUUAUUUUUUGUACUUAUCCUUUUUUCUGGGCACACCAGGUUUAUUUGAUGUUUGUACUUUUUUCUCCAAAACCUAAGUCUUAACUGUUUUGUGUGAGAAAUUCUGUGUAUUUCUGCAUUAGGAGGUUAUUAGAACUAUAAUAAUAUCAUUGUGCAGAUGUUUCUUUUACAAUGUUGGAAGAACUUGUUAAAAUCCUGGGCUUAGUCAAUUAGUCUUUUGUCCUUGAAUGUAUUCCUCGUAACAAAACUAUGGUAAUAACUAAUAGGCUUCUCUAACCAAUGCAUAUGACUUCCAUAGAAGGUUUGGACCAAAACCAAAGUAAAAAAUCCUGGUGCAAAAUGGGAGAUGUAAAUAGUCUUAUUCUAUUCAUGCUCAGACGGAUUGUGUGGCCUAUGGCUGAAAGACAGUUGUGUGUCUAGGACCUGUUUCUUUAAGUACCAAAGGUGAAAUGGCUCAGCCAAGAGUGUUUGCCACAAGCCUCUCUGACUUGUUAGGGUGUUCUAGGUUGAACCAAGGAGCACAAUCUGUAACAGCAGCAGAAUAAGGAGCAUAGAAAGAUGAGCUCUCCACAGUUCACAGAAUUUCCUUCUGAUCUUGUGCUGUGGACACUGCCACUCUUUGCUAGAACUCUUGGCUUUUAUCUUUUGGAGUUAUGUAUUUUGAUACUAUUCUUCCACUUCCUCUGUCUCUCUGUUCAAAAACAAUGACUAUGGGCAGGUCUUACAUAAAUAAUUGGGUGGGAAGAUCAUGUUCUCCAAAUCCUGAUUUCUGUGUGCCAUUUUUGCUAGAAAGGGACCCAAUGCACAAUUACUAUGUACAAAUGGAAUUUACAGCCCUAAGAGGAGCUUCAGACAGAAGUAUCACCUUUGAAAGCUGCCUAGCAGCAUAUGAUCCUGCAUAUGAUGAUUCAACUGGGUGGGUGCAAGCACAGAUCAAAGUGUGAUCUUUGAUGUUCUAGCCUACCUAAACAAAAACAAAAAAAAGCAAAAAACAAACAAAACAAAAAUACCCAAUAAACCCCCCUCAUAAAAUUGCCA
Long non-coding RNA from Parus major (Great Tit), 2607 nucleotides. The record is from Ensembl. NCBI's taxonomy places the organism in Eukaryota, Metazoa, Chordata, Aves, Passeriformes, Paridae.